GGUCUUGUAGUUUAAUUGGUAAAACACUGGGAUGCUCGCUGGUUGAUCACCAGUUGAGCGCUAGAAGCUAUAUUACUGGUAUCCUAUACUAGGAGCAAUUAUACUACUAACGUACCCAGAGAUGACUGUUCGAACCAGCCCUUGACCA
Orbilia blumenaviensis is the source of this 148-nucleotide non-coding RNA. NCBI's taxonomy places the organism in Eukaryota, Fungi, Ascomycota, Orbiliomycetes, Orbiliales, Orbiliaceae. The record is from the annotation of a GenBank genome assembly.